AGUGAACGCUGGCGGUAGGCCUAACACAUGCAAGUCGAACGGCAGCACAGUAAGAGCUUGCUCUUACGGGUGGCGAGUGGCGGACGGGUGAGGAAUACAUCGGAAUCUACUUUUUCGUGGGGGAUAACGUAGGGAAACUUACGCUAAUACCGCAUACGACCUACGGGUGAAAGCAGGGGAUCUUCGGACCUUGCGCGAUUGAAUGAGCCGAUGUCGGAUUAGCUAGUUGGCGGGGUAAAGGCCACCAAGGCGACGAUCCGUAGCUGGUCUGAGAGGAUGAUCAGCCACACUGGAACUGAGACACGGUCCAGACUCCUACGGGAGGCAGCAGUGGGGAAUAUUGGACAAUGGGCGCAAGCCUGAUCCAGCCAUACCACGUGGGUGAAGAAGGCCUUCGGGUUGUAAAGCCCUUUUGUUGGGAAAGAAAAGCAGCAGGUUAAUACCCCGCUGUUCUGACGGUACCCAAAGAAUAAGCACCGGCUAACUUCGUG
This 491-nucleotide ribosomal RNA is filed under the name uncultured bacterium. RNAcentral describes it as "partial 16S ribosomal RNA". It matches the Rfam family "Bacterial small subunit ribosomal RNA", at positions 29 to 507 of the family's 1533-position model. The record is from RNAcentral.